This is an RNA transcript of Mesoplodon densirostris (Blainville's beaked whale), 3226 nucleotides long. It is a transcript of the gene named TIR domain containing adaptor molecule 1, with no coding region annotated. The record is from RefSeq and is a predicted model, not a curated record. The transcript has 3 exons. NCBI's taxonomy places the organism in Eukaryota, Metazoa, Chordata, Mammalia, Artiodactyla, Ziphiidae.
AGGCCGUGCGCCUGGAGCCACCGGCGUGCCCUUCGCUCUCUGCCAUCCGCGGGCACGCCGCUAGGCCGUCCGGCCACCAGUCCCAGCCCCGAGGACACGAGCGGCGCGGCCAGCCGCCCCCGCGAUCCCUGGUAGGUCUGCUCUGCAGCCCCCAGGGGACCUAGUACCCGUGAGCAGGUAGGGACACCGGGCCUGCAGCGCAGGGGGGCAGCGUGUGGAACAUGACUCCAUCACCCAGUGCUUCUCCCGCUGCCGGAGGCCACACCCACCUGCGCCCAUGGCCAGCACAGGGCCGUCGCUUUCUGGCGCCUUUGACAUUCUAGGUGCGGCGGGUCAGGAUAAGCUCUUGUAUCUUAAGCACAAGCUGAAGACCCUGCGGCCAGGCUGCCGUGGGGCGGACCUCCUGCAUGCCAUGGUGCUCCUAAAGCUGGGCCAGGAGACCGAGGCCAGGAUCUCCCUGGAGGCGCUGAAGGCGGACGCUGUGGCGAAGCUGGUGGCCCGCCAGUGGGCUGGUGUGGACAGCACUGAGGCCCCAGAGGAGCCCCCAGACGUGUCCCGGACUGUUGCCAGGGUGUACCACCUUCUUGCCGAGGAGAGGCUGUGUCCAGCGCCAAUGCGGGAGGAGGCCUACCGGGCAGCCGUCCGUGCUUUCAGGUCCAGGGACGACCCCCAGCUGGGGGAGCUCCAGGAAGAGGCCCGAGACCGGUGCGGAUGGGACGUCCUUAGGGACCUGGGGGCCAUCCAAACUCUCCACUCCGAUCUGGGGUGCCUCCUGCCGUCCUCGGCAUCACCCUCUGGGACCCGCAGCGAUCCACGGCCCAUCGAGGACUUUUUGGACUGGAGCAGAGGGCAUUCCCUGAGAUCCACCGGCAGCCCAGCCUCUCUGGCCAGCAACUUGGAAAUUAGCCAGUCGCCCACCGUGGCCCUCCUCAGCAGUCACCACAGCCCCCACGGGCCCAGCAAGCUGUGUGACAAGCCCCGGGCCAGCCCGGUGCCCGAGCCUGCCCCUAUGGGCUGCCAGGAGCCCGAGGAGAUGACCUGGCCCCCAUCAGUGGAGGCUGCCAGGUCCCUGGUGCGGCCAAACAGCCCAGCCCCCAGGCUUCCCGAGGUGGCCGCAGAUGCAUGCCCCGCCAGCCUGCACGACCCCCCGGAAGCUCCGAAAACCAGCAGUCACUACUCGGUGGAGUGCACGGAUGUGCCAGCAGCUCCCAAAUCUCUCCCCUCGCCUUCCAGAAACGCCUGCCCUGUCGCGGAUCAGACGCCAAUCCAACUUUCAGAGGAAGACACCACUUACCCGGCGGCUCAGCCACGCCCACCGACUCCAUCGGCCCCCAAAACGUCCCCUCCCUCUUCGUCUCCAUCGACUCCUCCUAAGGUUCACCCUACCAUCUCAAAGCCGGGGCCCCCUCCUCCUGAGCUGGAGUCGCAGGAGCAGAAGUUCUAUAACUUUGUGGUGCUGCACGCUGGCGCGGACGAGCACAUCGCGCUGCGCGUGCGCGAGAGGCUGGAGGCCCUGGGCGUGAGCGACGGCGCCACCUUCUGCGAAGAUUUCCAGGUGCCAGGGCGCGGCGAGCUGCACUGCCUGCAGGACGCCUUAGACCACUCGGCCUUCACCAUCCUGUUGCUCACCUCCAACUUCGACUGCCGGCUGAGCCAGCACCAGGCGAACCAGUCUCUGAUGAGCAGCCUCACGCGGCACGGGUGGCAGGAUUGCGUGAUCCCCUUCCUGCCCCUGGAGAGUUCCCAGACCCAGCUCAGCCCCAGAACGUCCAGCCUGCUCACCGGCCUGGUGUGGCUGGACGAGCACUCCCCGAUCUUCGCCAGGAAGGUGGCCAACACCUUCAAGUCCCAGAAGCUGCGGGCCCGCAAGGCCAAGUGGAGAAAGGAACAGGAUGUCCGGGCCCUGCAGGAGAAGAGCCAACACCUGGAGGGUGAGCGGCAGCAGGCAGCGGCGUGGGGUGCCGCGCACUCAGCUUGCCUCCAUAACUACCUGUCCUACCAGAAGCAGAUGGAGAAGCUCCAGGUAGCUUUUGAGAGCUACAUGCCAUUUGGGACUCAACCGCCUUCUGUGCUUCAGGUGCCCUUUGGGGGACCGGGGCCCCUCGGAGCCCCACCACCACCCUUUCCCACCUGGGCGGGCCAUCAGCCGCCGCCCCUCCCUCCUUGGCUGGCGGGCAUGCCCCCACCGGCCUUCCCGCAGCCCUCAGUGGCUUUCCCGCAGCCCCAGGCCUUCCCGCAGCCCCCGGACUUCCCACAGACUUCACCCGGGCACUCUCAGAACCCUGGCCUGCAGCCCCUCAUCAUACAUCAUGCACAGAUGGUACAACUGGGACUCAACAACCACAUGUGGAACCAGAGAGGGACGCAGGCGCCCGAGGACAAGACGCCAGAAACGAAAUGACCAAGUGACUGGACCUGAUGGCCUCGGCCUUGAUUCCCCAUCACCAGGGGUCAGUGGAACAUGGGGUCAUUUGCUACUUUCAGGACACUGCCGGGAAAAUUGACCCCAUGACUUUCUGGCCCUCGAGGUAGCCAGAAUUGGAUGUGUUUACAAAUUCUCAGUCAAUCCCUCCCUCUCUCUGGACCGUGGUGGUGGGGAAUGGGUUGGGGGUAUGGGUAUGGUGUUUUAAUUGUAAUAAAUAUUUAUUGAAUGCUUUGACAGCACCAUUGUCCUCUGGGAGACCUCUGCCUGGCCAUUUGUCAGGAUAAAAAUGUGGCUGCUAUUGCCAUAAAAGGGACAGGAACCAAAAGUUGUGCAUGUUUGCUUUCAUUUCAUUGGUCAGGAUAUAGUCAUAUGGUCCAUCUCCGGCUGCAGGGGAAGCUGUGAAAUGUAGUCUUCUGAUGGGUCACGUGCUUUGCCAGAAGUGUUGGUUCUAAUGCCAGAGAAGGUGGACAGAAAAGACAUUGUCGAGGCGGAAGGAAGGGAGUGGUGAAUGAAUCAUCAAAUGAGGAGGCAAGAUAAUUUCAGAAACUGAGGAGACUUCAGAAGAAAUAAACUGGGCAUGCAUGGUGAUGGGGGUGCCUCAGGAGGAAGAACUUUGGCCCAGGUGACCAGGAAGGCCUCUCUGAGGAGGUGGCAUUAGAGCCAAGACCUGGAGAAAGAGCUUGGGAAGGAAGGGUUAAAUCUUCUGGGCAGAGGAAACAGGCAGUGCAAAGGCCCUGGGGCAGGACCGUGCCUGCGUUGUUGCAUGAACAGCAAGGAUGGGCAGAGUGAGUGAGGAGGAGA